RNAcentral lists this long non-coding RNA (8424 nucleotides) under Nicotiana tabacum (common tobacco). Its description in RNAcentral is "long non-coding RNA (NTAB_LNC002964)". Lineage: Eukaryota; Viridiplantae; Streptophyta; Magnoliopsida; Solanales; Solanaceae. The record is from RNAcentral.
GUAGAAGGUAACAACAUUUCAUAUCAUACUAAAAUCUUGCCCCAUUAUACAGAAGCAGGCAACAACUACUAUUUAUGGGAGUAAUGCAGAAGUUUUAAAGAAGCAAGCAAUAUCUACUAUUUUAGUUCAAUACAAGAUCCUGUAAAAUUCAAGAGAUAACCAAAUAAGUCUAGAAAUGCCAUCACCAAAUAACAAAGCAGUGGCAAAGUAGUCACAAGCCACAAGCCACAAAGUAAGUUUAGAAAAGGAUACGUAAAGACUUAAAUACGAAUCACUGGAUGAGGCAUGAGACACUUCUUAAUAUGCUUCACUAAGACAAAAGUGCCAUUAUACUUCGGAUAACAAUUAUAAACUCGACCACAAUAAACACACUUUGCUUCGCGGACUUCUUCAUUUUCUUCAACUACCUCAAAAUAUUUCCAAAUAGGCGAUCUGGCUUUAGGACCAUAAGGCAUAGUUGAACCUACAAAAUAAGAAAACAUCACAAGUUAAAUAAUAUAUUUUAAAUUAUAAAUAACAAAAGGAUAUCACAAAACAAGCAAUUCUUUAAACUUACCACUUGUUCAAACUAUGUAUCAACAAUGCUAGUAUCUCUUUCAACAAUGCAAGUUUCUCUUCCGCUCUUUGCCAUAUCUAAAUAUAAUUUGAUAAAGUGUGUCAUAUAAAAUUACAAAGUAAAUUAAUUUUCACUAAAAUACUCAUAAAAUCCAAAAGCAUACCAAGUUCAAUUUGCUCAAGAAACUCCGAAUCUUCUUCAACAUUAAUAGGAGUACACACACAUCUAAAUCAAUCUUGAACACAAACAAGACUUUGCACCAACUGGAGGGUCAAUGAACUCCUAAAUGAAUGAAGAAUGAGGCCACCGGUGCUAAAUGCACAUUUUGAUGCAACAUUAAAAAUUGGAAUGUCCAAUACAUCACGAGCUAGCUGAGAUAGAACAGGAAAUCGAGGCACAUUAACUUUCCACCAAUCUAAGAUUUAAAGUCAUCAGAAUCAUCAGACACUGGCUCUUGUUCUUCACUAAUAUAUCUUUCCAAUUCAGAUUUAACACCUCCACUUCCAGAGUCUUCAUUUUGCCUUUUCAAUUGAAGCUUUGUUCUCACAGAUUUCGACCUCACAUUUCCACUAGAUGAAUCAGAUGAAGUAGAUCUAGAUGGAGAUGAUUGAAGAUAACAUCCUCUUGAAUAUGUUUUUGAUAUUCCCCAAAUAAAGAAUUCAAAUAAGCAUCCACUUCAACAGUUAUUUUCUUCCCUGGUUCCUCCCCGAACAUUUCCUCAAGUGCAAAACCAACAUACUCUAAUUUGUUAUGAGAAUCUAAUACAGAAGCAAUGAAUAUCAUUUUAUGCAUCUUUUCAGGUUCACCCCAAUAUUUUUUACACUUUUCUUUCAUCUUCCCCGCCAUCUUACUCAAAUUAGUAUCAUCAGUAGCUAAACAAGUUUUCAAAUGACUAUCAAGCUCAUAUAUAUCCUCAAAAUGACAAUUAGAAGUGAUAUAACGUGAACCUGAAACUUUUUCGGUGAGCUCGUAAAAUCUUUCAAGAAACUUUAUCACGUUUCUCACAUUCACCCAAUCAUCACAUACAAAUGGACUUACAACAUUCCCAUCCUCAAAAAUAUGCAUACAAAGAUGAGUAGAAAAUCCAUCAUCAAAAAGAUAAAGUUUGGCAAAGCCCUUCUCAAAGUUUUGCACCGUUUCCAACAUCAAGUAGGUGGAAUUCCACCUAGUAGGAACAUCCAAACACAAUAUUUUGCUACAUUCUACCUCUUGAUAUGAACAAUAUUCCCUAAACUUUAAGGCCCUUUACGGAGAUGAUCUCACAUACCUUACAACUCGUCUAAUACGUUUUACAGAAAUAUCAAUUUCUUUCAAACCAUCUUGCACAAUUAGAUUAAGUAUGUGAGCCAUGCAUCUCACGUGAAGAUACUUACCACUCAUCGAAUUAGUUUUCCACAUAUCUAAUUGUUUAGAUAAUUCUUUGACCGUGACAUCAUUCGAAGAAGCAUUAUCAAUAGUAACAAUAAAUACCUUAUUCAAUUUCUAUUCAAGUAAACAAUUACCUAUAACUUUUGCCAUCUCGUCACCCUUAUGACUAGAGAUAGGGCAAAAAUUUAGUAUCCAUUUAUGCAAUACCCAAUAUCUAUCAAUAAAAUGACCCGUCAAACACAUAUAGUUAAUUCGUUGUAACGAAGUCCAUGUGUCUGUGGUAAGAAAAAUUUUUGGUUUUACUUCUCUUAAAUUUUUCAUUAGUUUAAGUCUCUCUUCACUGUAUACUUGAAAACAAUCCCUUGUAAUUGGCCUACGAGAAGGAACAUUCAAUAGAGGUUGGGCUAUACGCAUAAACUUCUUAAACCCUUUCUUUUCAACAAAGCUAAAAGAUAAUUCCUCCAUAAUUACCAUCUCAACUAAAGCCCUCAUAACUAGUUCUUGAUCAAAUUUUCAAAGCACCCCACCAUCCAUUUGCCCAUUUUUUGUAAACACAAUUGUGUUUGAGUAUUAUCAACUUUUCUUGAUAUUUUUGGACACUUCUUUAAAUGUGUAUUCAAUGAUAUUGUUCCAUUCAAUCGUGAAUCGACCUUAUAAUCACGACCACAAUAUUUACACUUUGCUCUAUUAACUCCAUUAUCAUCUUUAAACUUUUCAAAAUGAUCCCAAACAGUUGAUCUAGAUUGUAUGGAUUUUUUUUGGACAUUGACUAGUUUCAACUAAAUUUGUAGGUGAAAAAGUAGGUUCACUUUCAGAUGAACCCACCUCGCUUACUCUACUUUCUACUUCUGCCAUCUAUACAAAAUCAAAUGAAAACAGAAUUAAAAAUACAAACUGGUAUACAAUAUAAAUCAAACAUGUCGCAAUUCGCAUAAAUCAAGUUGAUUGUUUGUUUAAGGAGUCAAUUGUCACUUUUAUUUCAAAAGAACAAAAGCAAAGCCAAUGGACAUUUAAGAAAGAAUAGAAAACGAUACCGUUGCUCUCGGUGUACAAUAGCAAGGAAUGCAAUUGUGACCGAAAAAUGAUGGUUCGUCACCGAAAAACUAUGCAUGACACUAAUAUACAGUCAGGGAAGUUAAUCACUCCAGCAAAUAGCAUACAAAAGGAAUUACCACCACUCACAUUUGGGAGCUUUCUACCACAGAAAUACCAAUCGAUAGAGAAAGUUUAUGAAACUAGUAGUUCUGAAGGUGCUCUGCAACUUCAACCUGCCAAAGCGGAAGGAACAACGGUACAUGCAACUCGGUGAUUACAGUACUCUGAAGCGAGUGGAUCGGUAAAGCCAACUCCUACAGCAGCUAACAUUGUAUGAGGGAAUCACAACUCACAAAUGGGUAAACCCUUGUCUUUUGUUCCUCCAAUUGAUAGAGAUGGUAAACGAAUUGUCAAAUUGAACGAGGGAGAUCUAAAAUCUCAGGAAGAUUAUUGUAAAACCUCUCUAAUUGGGUACAUAAUCGUAGAGAAUCCUUAUGAAAAAUCUAUGAAGAAUUUUGUUACGAAUGUGUGGAAUUUUGUUACAUAAUCUCAUAUAUUAAUUCAUUCUAAGGGAUAUUAUAUCUUCAAAUUUCACACCAUAGCUGAUAGGGACCAAGUUCUCCAGUAAGGGCCAUAUACCUAUAGGAACAAACCAAUGGUGCUAAGGCUAUAGGAAAUUAAUUUCUCAUUCAGCAAAGACAUACUAAGCAUAGUGCCGGUUUGGGUGAGAUUCCCUGGGUUACCAGUAGGAUAUUGGUCGACUGAGGCUCUAAGCAAAAUGGCCAGUGUAGUAGGCAAGCCCCUAUACACUGAUAAAUUCACUGCUCAUUAUGAGAAGAUAUCUUAUGCAAGGGUUCUUGUGGAGGUGGAUGCUGCAUAUCCUUUGGCCCUAUGGUGGAGAUUAUUGAAUAUGAUUGGAGGCCUGUGUUCUAUAAUGACUAUCUGAAAUUUGGUCAUGAUUCUUUUGACUACCGGUAUAACAAAAGCUGUAAUGAAGAGGAGGAUAACCAAGAAAGGGGAAAGCCAAGAAGGAAGAUAAGAAGAGCAAAUAAGGCAGCUAGGACUGUGAAGCAAACAUCGUUGUUGAAAAAUCUAGAAAUGAAUGCUGAAAAAGAUCCAGAGCCAUAGAGGAAGGAAGCCCUGCAAGCAAACCCUGCUCAUGAGCCUGAUUGCACUGAGAUUGUUAGGAAGAAUAUAGAGCAUGUAAAGCAAAAUACUCUUAUGCCUUGUCAGACCAAAGAAUGGGUUAACCUUCAGAAUGACACAUGCUGCAAUCCUGUGAGUGGAAUGCUAACUUGCAAUGAUAAAGGGAAGGUAGCUGCUAAGCUAAGGCAUGAUGGGAGUGGAGGGCAACAGGAGGAUCCAAGUUCAACAUUCUCUCCAAAUCACAACCCUAAAUGAUCAUUGCCACUUGAAAUACUAGGGGCCUAAACAAGGCCCAUAAACAGAAGGAGGUAAAGACCUUUCUGGCUAAAAAUAAGGUAGAUAUAAUGGGGUGUAUUGAAACCAGAGUAAAAGAACAUAAGGGUAAGAAAAUACAAAAACAGAUUGCUCAGGGGUGAAAUGAUUACUGUAACUAUCCUUAUGCUGUAAAUGGUAGAAUUUGGAUUAUGUGGAGAGCUCAUAUAUAACUUCAGAUUAUUCAAACUACAGAUAAAUUCAUCCAUUGUCUAGUGGAGGAUACCAGAACUCAAAUUACCACAUAUCUCAGUAUCAUAUAUGCUCAGAAUGAUGGCCAUCAAAGGGAGACUUUAUGGAGGGAUCUUAAACAGAUAAAUAUGCAGGCUCAUCUGCCAUGGCUUCUUAGUGGAGAUUUUAACAAUGUUCUAUCUUCUGAAGAUAGAAUAGGGUUCCCUAUAAUCAUUACUGAAACAUAAGGAUUCAAAUAUGUGGUUGAUUUUCUACAAAUUACUCCUCUUAGAGCUAAAGGAUGACGUUUCACUUGGACAAACAAACAAGGCACUGGUUCAAGAGUGUAUAGCAAGAUAGAUUGGGCUUUGAGAAACUAUCAGUGGAUACAACAAUAUGGUCAUGUGGAGGAAGAUUUCUUAAAUCCUACAGUCUCUAAUCACUUCCCUAUCCUAAUCAAAUGUGGUGGGCAGAAACUAUUACAUCCUAAACCAUUUAGACUAUACACAAAUGUCAUGGAACUUCCACAAUUCCAGAAUAUUAUUCAGCAUAUUCGGAAUCAGAAUUAUGAUGGCACAUCUAUGCAACAGGUCUGGUGCAAGGUGAAGUCUAUGAAGGUGUAAUUGCAAGAUUAUAAUGCUUAUAUGGCUUCAUACAAACAAAAACUUGAGCAGACAAGAGAGAGAUUGAUUAUUGUUCAGGACCAGAUUCAGCAGGAUCCUUUAGCCUAUAUCCUGUUUGACUUAGAGAAAGACACACUAGCUGACAUUGAAAAAUGGAGCAAUGUUGAGGAACAAGUGCUGAGGCAGAAGUCCAGGGCAUGCUGGAUUGAGUGUGGUGAUGCAAAUACAAAAUACUUCCAUGCCCAAUGGAAGAUUAGAUCUAGCCAGAAUAGUAUAACCUCUAUAUACACUGACACAGGAAUGAAGGUAACUGAUCCAAAAUUGGUUGAGCAGGAAUUCAUCAGAGUAUUUAAGUCCUUGAUGGUAGACUGUGCUACUGAAAUGCCUUGUGCAAAUACAACUAUAAUCAAGGAUGGACCAUGCUUAACUAUUUUACAACAGAGAGGAUUAAUUCAGAAAGUAACUAAUGAGGAAAUCACUACUGCAGCGUGGGAGAUGCCUAGAUACAAAGCACCAGGUAUUGAUGGAUUUCCUGUGGAAUUCUUUACUAUAAACUAGAACAUAGUGAAGAAGGACAUCUUUGCAGCUGUGAAGAGCUUUUUUACUACCUGUAGCCUGCCUGGAAUGAUCAAUACUAUAGCCAUCACCUUAGUACCUAAAUUCUCAGCACCUUCAACAGUCAAGGACUAUAGGCCUAUUGCAUAUUGUACCAUAUUGUAUAAGAUUAUCUCUGAAGUCAUUACUAGAAGAAUCAAAACUGUUCUUGAUGGUUUGGUUGGACAUUCCCAAUCAACAUUCAUUGAAGGGAGGUGUAUUAUUGAUAACAUACUACUCAAUCAUGAGUUAUUUAAAGGAUACUCCAGAAAAGGUAUCUCUCCUAGAUGUGUGCUGAAGGUGGAUUUGAGGAAAGCCUAUGAUACUUCGGAAUGCGGAUUUCUCAGAAGAAUGCUUGUUGAUAUUGGUUUUCCCUUCAAGUUUGUGCAAUGGAUAAUGGCAGGUGUUGCUACAAUGUCAUAUUCCUUGGUGCUAAAUGGAGGAAUGAUCAAACCUUUCAAAGGCAGAAGGGGGAUUAGACAAAGAGAUCCAAUGUCUUCAUACUUAUUUGUCAUUGCAAUGGAGUAUUUAGGAAGAGAACUGGGUCAAUUACAUAAGAAUGGAGAUUUUAACUUUCAUCCUAGGUGCAUGAAGUUAAAUAAUACACAUAUCUAUUUUGCUGAUGAUCUCCUGAUGUAUUGCAGAGCUGAUAUUGAGUCUAUUAGAAUCCUUAAUGCUUCAUUUCCCAAAUUCUUAGUUGUUUUUGGCUUGCAGGCAAAUGUGGAUAAAAGUGCUAUAUAUAUAUAUAUACGGCUGGAAUUUCAUUAACUGUGAAAUAGAAAAUUCUUUCAACAUUGGGCUUUACUGAAGGAAAGCUUCCUUUCAAAUAUUUGGGGAUUCCUUUAGAUUCUAAAAAGCUAUCAGUUCAGCAAUAUCUACCUCUUAUUGCGAAGAUAACUGCAAGGGUCACCUGCUGGCUAGCUAAGCUUUUAUCUUAUGCUGACAGAUGUGACUGAUAAAGGCUGUUAUUUUUGGCAUUCAAACCUAAUGGGUAUAGUUCUUUGUUCUUCCAAAGAAGGUUAUGAAGCUAAUUGAGGCAAUAUGCAGAACUUUCCUAUGGACUAGUACUGCUACUAUCUCUAAGAGAGCACUAGUGGCAUGGGAUAAAGUAUGCAGGCCUAUAGUUGCUAGAGGGCUCAAUAUACUGGACAUCAAACUGUGGAACAAAGAAGCAAUCAUAAAACAUUUGUGGGAUAUAACAAGAAAGAAGGAUUGUUUAUAGAUACUAUGGGUGCAUAGCUUCUAUAUAAAGAACAGAGACAUGGAAAAAUGGCUACACCCAAGACUGCAUCUUGGGUAGUGAGGAAGAUACUAGAUGGCAGAGGAUUGAUUAUGGAGCACCAGAAACUUCAAGGAGAAAUCCAUAGCAGAUUAAAGUCAAUGUGCACAGAUACAAAGUUCUAGAUAAAGGAGAUGUACUUGAAGCUGAUACCAACAUAUCCCAGAGCUGAAUGGAAAAGUUUGAUGAUGCAUACCAACAUACACCCCAGAUACAAAUUCACUCUAUGGCUAGCAGCACAACAGAGACUAGCUAUAGUAGAAAGACUAUUGAAGAUUGGCAUCCAAAUUCCUGCAGCUUGUGCAUUCUAUGGACAUAACCUGGAGUCCUUUAACCACUUGUUCUUUGAUUGCACCAUCACAAAGCAGUUGUGGUCUAGACUAUGUUCAUGGUUGGGAUAUAAUAGGAGAAUUAGUGAUUGGAAAAUAGAAUUGGAAUGGGCAUGCAAGAAAGCCAAGAGUAGAACAGGAACAAAUGCAAUUACUAGAUGUGUGUUUGCCAUGACUGUUGUAUUGAUUUGGAGAUAUAGAAAUAAGAUCAAAUUUGAACAAGCUAAAUUUGAUGACUCCCAAAUCUUUUAGGAAGAUAGUAUUGCACCUACACGUCAGAGGAAAGGACAUAGUCAAGUGGAAAGAAGCAUUGCACCAGCUGAAUUGGGUUCCAUAGAUAAUUAGAAAGUACAGUAGGGAAUCCUCACUGUAGUUUGUUAUGAAACAAGUGUCUGUAUGAAAAUUUUAUAGUGUAGGAUAGAUAGACACAUGAAUUGAUAGAAGCAGAAUGUGAUGUAUAUCUAGAGUAGCUUGUCAAAGCUGCUCCUUGGACUCCAAUGUACAUAUUUUUUGAAUAUCAAUAGAAUAUAAUGUUUAAUAAAAAAAAGAAGUAAAAACAGAGGCAAAAAACAAAAGAUGCAAUUGUCACUUCUUUUUGGCAAAUGUUAACUCGAAAGAGUCCUAAAAGUCAGAGGCAAACACGCAUAAAUACUAUAAACAAGACCAGAAAAAUUGAAAGUUGAAAGAAACCAGUAACACUAAUAAAGUAAUAAUAACAGAAAGAUAAAUUUUAUGCAUACUAUAAUUUUAAUAGCAUGCACAUUGCAAUUUUCUUUUUAUGCACUGCAAAUUUAUGCACAUUAGAACUUAGAAGAAGGAGGGAACUUGGGAAAAGGAACUCAGAAGAAGGGGGAAACCUGAGGAAGAAGGAGGAGCGACAAGCGACGAGCGGCAGGAGAGGAAGAAUGUGUCACACCAGGCGAUGAGCGGUAGUCGGCACAGAGGAGGAAGGAAGUUGGGACUCAAGAAGUCAAGAACCCUAAUUAGAACUAAGACAAUUUUUAAUUUCUA